This 2267-nucleotide ribosomal RNA is filed under the name Acanthothecis fontana. RNAcentral describes it as "large subunit ribosomal RNA". It matches the Rfam family "Bacterial large subunit ribosomal RNA", at positions 181 to 2725 of the family's 2925-position model. The record is from RNAcentral. Lineage: Eukaryota; Fungi; Ascomycota; Lecanoromycetes; Ostropales; Graphidaceae.
AACGAAGUGAAUUGAAAUAUCUUAUUAACUUCAGGAAAAUAAAUCAAAAGAGAUUUUAUUAUUAGUGUGAAUGAAAAUAAAAUAGCCUAUAUUAUUUUUGCCAUUACUAUCCUAAUAAACUAAAAUAGAUGAGGAAUAGCCUUACCGAAAUAAAAUGACUCAUGCUGAUAAAGAUGAAACUGACUAGAGAUGAAAGAGAUUACAGACGAUAAUAGACUUCCAUCAAAUAAUGAAUAUUAUUUGAUGAUUGAUUAAGUAGAACGGAUUAUAUUUGUUUGAAUAUAGGGGACCCUUCCUCUAAGGCUAAAUAUAAUGUAUAAGCAAUAGAAAAAGUACCGUGAGGGAAAUAGAUAAAAAUAGUAGUUCUAUAAGCAGCUCGAGUAUUAAAUAAUAGAAUGUAAGAGCGUACCUUUUGUAUAAUGGGUCAGCAAGUUAAUAUUAUAUGCGAGCUAAAAGCGAAGAUAAACUAAUUAUGACCUACUGAGGAGUAUUUAAUAUUAGACCCGAAGUCUAGUGAUCUUACCAUUAUCAGGAGUAAAGUCCGAACGGGUUAUCGUUGUAAAGAUAUCCGAGGAAUAAUGGUAAGUUAGUGAAAGACAACACUGACUAGAAUAGCUGGUUUUCUACGAAACCUAUAUAAGUAGGCGGUUUUAAUAAUAUCACGGCAGGUACAGCGAUGUAAUCUUAAUAUAUGAUUUAAUACAUUUUAUAUUAUUGCGGGGGCCUGAAAAUCUUACAAUUAAGUAUUUGCACUCGAAAGGGCUUUGAUAAAUAUAUUACUGUCAGACAUAGUACGAUAAGGUUGUAUGUCUAAAGGGAAACAGCCCAGAACAAGAGUUAAUAAGGUUCCUAAAUUAUUGUUAAGUGAAAUGAAGGAAGUGUUUAUCGUAUUCGGCAAGAAAGUGGGCUUAGAAGCGGCCAUCUUUUGAAGACCUCGUAAAAGAGCACUCGCUAUUACAAAUAAGAUAAAGGCACCGAAAAUUUAUCGGAUCUAAACAAUAUACCGAAACCUUGUCCAUAUAUUAUAAUAUACCGAAACCUUGUCCAUAUAUUAUAAUAUAUGGGGUAGUAGAACAUAAGGUAAGUACAAGAUUUUUUCUUUAUAAGAAUUAAAAAAUUAAAAUUGUAAUUGUAUAAUACAUAAUUAUAUGUUAGGUAUUUAUAGAAUUACGUUAGGACAACCUUAGAGAUAAUGCUGACAUGAGUAACGAUAAAGGGAUAUAGUCCCUCGCCUUAAGCUUAUGGGAUUUAAAAUGUAACGGCCUCUAAGUAUUAAUUCUAAAGGAUUAUACGAUGAAAAUAUCUAAAUUAUAAGAUAAAUAACUUUAUAGUGAAUAAAGUUCAGGAAAAAUUUAUAAUUAAAAUAUGUAAUUAAUUGUACCGUACCUAAAGUCUAACACAAGUAAGCUAGUAGAGUAUACGAAGGCGUUUGAGCGAACAAUUAUUAAGGAACUCGGCAAAUUGGCUCCGUAACUUAGGGAGAAGGUGCGCCACUAAUCUUGGUUAAUAACAAGUAAAUAGGAGGAGGCAUAGAAUGGUGUUGUACGACUGUUUAAUUAAAACAAAGCACUUAGCUAAGAAGAUAAUUCGAUGUAGAGAGUGUGAGUUCUGCCAAAUGCCGGCAGGAUAUAGUAUUUUACUUAAUUUAUAAAAUUAGGAAUUGAUAGAUUCCCCGGUCAAUGGCGGCCUUAACUGUGAGGGUCCUAAGGUAGCGGAACACCCUGGCCGUUAAAUGCGGUCUUGCAUGAAUGAUUUAACGAUACAACAGCUGUCUCUAUAAUUGGCUCAGUGAAAUUGGGAUAACUGUGAAGAUACAGUUUACCUCUAGAUAGACGAGAAGACCCUAUGCAGCUUUACUGUGACUAGUUAUAGGGUAUUAUCGGUAAGUUUGAGAGAAUAAGGUAAUUAAUUUAAAGUUGAGACACCUUUACUUUAUUAUUAUACUUUUUACCUUUAAGGUACAAUCGCUAGGGGGCAGUUUAUGCGGGGCACAGAUCCCAUAAAAAGUAACUGGGAACAGGCUUAUUGCGCAAGAGAGUACAAAUUGAGUGCGCAGUUUGGCACCUCGAUGUCGGCUUAGCUUAUCCACAUGAAUGCAGGAAUCAUGAAUGGUCGGACUGUUCGUCCGUUAAAAAGCUACACGAGCUGGGUUAAAUACGUUGUGAGACAGUAUGGUUUCUAUCUUCUAGAGGAAAUUAAAGUAAAAUUAGAAUAGUCCCAUUCUACGAGAGGAACUGGGAAUGUUAACCUAUGGUAUACCUGUUGUU